Molecule: non-coding RNA, 876 nt
Organism: Paramuricea clavata
Lineage: Eukaryota; Metazoa; Cnidaria; Anthozoa; Malacalcyonacea; Plexauridae
Source: the annotation of a GenBank genome assembly
AAACAAAUAAAUUAUUGGAUUAAUUGCAAAGUUAAUUACAUAUACAACAGGCUAAAUAUAUACAGAAGGAUCAGAAAAGACAAACUGUCUGCUGACAGUAGCCUACUUUGUUCGCGAACCAGUGCCUUAAAAUCCAUAGCGGAACAAAACCAGCAACUGUAAUACAAGCAAUGAAAAGAAUUGUUUUCAGAAAUUUCUUUUCUUUCAACAGGCGUAGUUUUUCAGCAUGAUUUCCAUUCGAUGCGUUCCGUUCAGUUAUGUUUCUCGACUGUUUUUUCAAAGCGAUGCAAAUUGAAGCGUAUGCGAUCGACGAUAACAACAGUAGCGCCACAACCAAGCCUCCGUGCACUAACUCUUCAUAGUUGUGUUCAAAUCCAAAAAUAAAUAGUUUUGAAGAAUAGGAAAUGCUUAUGAGCCAAACGCAUGAUAACCAAAUUGCCAUCACUUUCCCUUUUAUCCAAUAACGAUGUUUAAGAGGAUAGACAACCAUGAAAAGUCGAUCAAUUGAAAUAGACGCAAUAGUCAAACAAGACACGUUUGCAAAACAACGAUUAAGAAGGUGGAAGGUCGAAGACAAGUCUUGGACAUCGUGAUUCAAAAACUGAAAUGUCAAGGUGAAACAAACCAACAAAUCUGAAAUUGCAAGAUUGAUAACAAACGACAUUACCAAAUUUUUGAAAUAUUUUAGAGGAUCUUUUAGAGAAGCAUAGAGAAGUAAUAAAUGUAGGAUCACUCCACAAAUGUAGAUGAAAAGUUGAGCAAAAAUCAUGGCACUGCUUUCAAAAAUGUCUUUCUUUUCUUGCGAUACCAUUUUUAAAGUGUUCUCGUUAUCUGCAGAACUAUAUUAAACCUUUUGAAAAUUAAUAUUGUAUUAUG